Molecule: ribosomal RNA, 465 nt
Filed under: Vreelandella stevensii
Lineage: Bacteria; Pseudomonadati; Pseudomonadota; Gammaproteobacteria; Oceanospirillales; Halomonadaceae
Description: partial 16S ribosomal RNA
Rfam family: Bacterial small subunit ribosomal RNA
Source: RNAcentral
CCUACGGGAGGCAGCAGUGGGGAAUAUUGGACAAUGGGGGCAACCCUGAUCCAGCCAUGCCGCGUGUGUGAAGAAGGCCCUCGGGUUGUAAAGCACUUUCAGUGAGGAAGAACGCCUGGUGGUUAAUACCCAUCAGGAAAGACAUCACUCACAGAAGAAGCACCGGCUAACUCCGUGCCAGCAGCCGCGGUAAUACGGAGGGUGCGAGCGUUAAUCGGAAUUACUGGGCGUAAAGCGCGCGUAGGUGGCUUGAUAAGCCGGUUGUGAAAGCCCCGGGCUCAACCUGGGAACGGCAUCCGGAACUGUCAAGCUAGAGUGCAGGAGAGGAAGGUAGGAUUCCCGGUGUAGCGGUGAAAUGCGUAGAGAUCGGGAGGAAUACCAGUGGCGAAGGCGGCCUUCUGGACUGACACUGACACUGAGGUGCGAAAGCGUGGGUAGCAAACAGGAUUAGAUACCCUUGUAGUC